This 136-nucleotide small nucleolar RNA is filed under the name Ornithorhynchus anatinus (platypus). Lineage: Eukaryota; Metazoa; Chordata; Mammalia; Monotremata; Ornithorhynchidae. The record is from RNAcentral.
CCCUUCCUAAGUUCGCACCUGGAGUUUCUAGUACUCUACCAGUCUUGACUAUGGGAGGAAGAGUCAAGCAGAGAUAUACCCAUUCCAUUCCUAGCUUGGCCAGUGGCUAGCGAGUGGAAGGCAAUCUGCUACUGGU